GACGAACGCUGGCGGCGUACUUAACACAUGCAAGUCGAACGGAAAGGCCCUGCUUUUGUGGGGUGCUCGAGUGGCGAACGGGUGAGUAACACGUGAGUAACCUGCCCUUGACUUUGGGAUAACUUCAGGGAACUGGGGCUAAUACCGGAUAGGAGCUCCUGCUGCAUGGUGGGGGUUGGAAAGUUUCGGCGGUUGGGGAUGGACUCGCGGCUUAUCAGCUUGUUGGUGGGGUAGUGGCUUACCAAGGCUUUGACGGGUAGCCGGCCUGAGAGGGUGACCGGCCACAUUGGGACUGAGAUACGGCCCAGACUCCUACGGGAGGCAGCAGUGGGGAAUAUUGCACAAUGGGCGGAAGCCUGAUGCAGCAACGCCGCGUGCGGGAUGACGGCCUUCGGGUUGUAAACCGCUUUCGCCUGUGACGAAGCGUGAGUGACGGUAAUGGGUAAAGAAGCACCGGCUAACUACGUG
This 468-nucleotide ribosomal RNA is filed under the name uncultured bacterium. Its description in RNAcentral is "partial 16S ribosomal RNA". It matches the Rfam family "Bacterial small subunit ribosomal RNA", at positions 28 to 507 of the family's 1533-position model. The record is from RNAcentral.